GACGAACGCUGGCGGCGUGCUUAGCACAUGCAAGUCGAACGGAAAGGCCCUGCUUUUGUGGGGUGCUCGAGUGGCGAACGGGUGAGUAACACGUGAGUAACCUGCCCUUGACUUUGGGAUAACUUCAGGAAACUGGGGCUAAUACCGGAUAGGAGCUCCUGCUGCAUGGUGGGGGUUGGAAAGUUUCGGCGGUUGGGGUUGGACUCGCGGCUUAUCAGCUUGUUGGUGGGGUAGUGGCUUACCAAGGCUUUGACGGGUAGCCGGCCUGAGAGGGUGACCGGCCACAGUGGGACUGAGAUACGGCCCAGACUGCAACGUGAGGCAGCAGUGGGGAAUAUUGCACAAUGGGCGGAGGCCUGAUGCAGCAACGCCGCGUGCGGGAUGACGGCCGUCGGGGAGUAAACCGCUUUCGCCUGUGACGAAGCGUGAGUGACGGUAAUGGGUAAAGAAGCACCGGCUAACUACGG
RNAcentral lists this ribosomal RNA (467 nucleotides) under uncultured bacterium. RNAcentral's name for it is "partial 16S ribosomal RNA". It matches the Rfam family "Bacterial small subunit ribosomal RNA", at positions 28 to 506 of the family's 1533-position model. The record is from RNAcentral.